Molecule: ribosomal RNA, 243 nt
Filed under: uncultured bacterium
Lineage: Bacteria
Description: partial 16S ribosomal RNA
Rfam family: Bacterial small subunit ribosomal RNA
Source: RNAcentral
UACGUAGGGGGCAAGCGUUGUCCGGAAUCAUUGGGCGUAAAGCGCGUGUAGGCGGUUCGGUAAGUCGGCUGUGAAAGUCCAGGGCUCAACCCUGGGAUGCCGGUCGAUACUGCCGGACUAGAGUUCGGAAGAGGCGAGUGGAAUUCCCGGUGUAGCGGUGAAAUGCGCAGAUAUCGGGAGGAACACCAAUGGCGAAGGCAGCUCGCUGGGACGUUACUGACGCUGAGGCGCGAAAGCCAGGGG